GACGAACGCUGGCGGCGUGCCUAACACAUGCAAGUCGAGCGGGGUGGUUCUGAAGGGCAACCGGAGGGAUCACCUAGCGGCGAACGGGUGAGUAACGCGUGGAUAACCUACCUCAAGGUCUGGGAUAACAGCUCGAAAGGGCUGCUAAUACCGGAUGUGGUGCAUAUGCUGCAUGGUAGAUGCACUAAAGGGGAAACCCGCCAUGAGAUGGGUCCGCGUCCCAUCAGCUAGUUGGUGGGGUAAAGGCCUACCAAGGCGACGACGGGUAGCCGGCCUGAGAGGGUGACCGGCCACACUGGGACUGAGACACGGCCCAGACUCCUACGGGGGGCAGCAGUGGGGAAUAUUGCACAAUGGGCGAAAGCCUGAUGCAGCGACGCCGCGUGGGCGAAGAAGGCCUUCGGUUGUAAGCCCUGUCUGGAGGACGAAGUAAUGACGGUACCUCCGGGGAAGCCACGGCUAACUACGUG
This 470-nucleotide ribosomal RNA is filed under the name uncultured bacterium. RNAcentral describes it as "bacterial SSU rRNA". It matches the Rfam family "Bacterial small subunit ribosomal RNA", at positions 28 to 507 of the family's 1533-position model. The record is from RNAcentral.